GGUGGCUCAACAAUAGAGUGCUUGCCUCACAUGCAUGAGACCCUGAGUUCAAUUCCUCAGCACCA
This 65-nucleotide transfer RNA is filed under the name Dipodomys ordii (Ord's kangaroo rat). It matches the Rfam family "tRNA". From Rfam's summary of the family: Transfer RNA (tRNA) molecules are approximately 80 nucleotides in length. Their secondary structure includes four short double-helical elements and three loops (D, anti-codon, and T loops). The record is from Rfam by way of RNAcentral. Lineage: Eukaryota; Metazoa; Chordata; Mammalia; Rodentia; Heteromyidae.